GGGUGAGUAACGCGUGAGCAACCUGCCUAUGACAGUGGGAUAGCCUCGGGAAACCGGGAUUAAUACCGCAUAAAAUCGUAGAAACACACGUUUUAACGGUCAAAGAUUUAUCGGUCAUAGAUGGGCUCGCGGCUUAUCAGCUUGUUGGUGGGGUAGUGGCUUACCAAGGCUUUGACGGGUAGCCGGCCUGAGAGGGUGACCGGCCACAUUGGGACUGAGAUACGGCCCAG
RNAcentral lists this ribosomal RNA (230 nucleotides) under uncultured Eubacteriales bacterium. Its description in RNAcentral is "uncultured Clostridiales bacterium partial 16S ribosomal RNA". It matches the Rfam family "Bacterial small subunit ribosomal RNA", at positions 104 to 334 of the family's 1533-position model. Lineage: Bacteria; Bacillati; Bacillota; Clostridia; Eubacteriales. The record is from RNAcentral.